This 579-nucleotide ribosomal RNA is filed under the name uncultured bacterium. Its description in RNAcentral is "bacterial SSU rRNA". It matches the Rfam family "Bacterial small subunit ribosomal RNA", at positions 202 to 801 of the family's 1533-position model. The record is from RNAcentral.
AAAAACCCAGGUGGUGUGAGAUGGAUCCGCGUCUGAUUAGCCAGUUGGCGGGGUAACGGCCCACCAAAGCGACGAUCAGUAGCCGACCUGAGAGGGUGACCGGCCACAUUGGGACUGAGACACGGCCCAAACUCCUACGGGAGGCAGCAGUGGGGAAUAUUGCACAAUGGGCGAAAGCCUGAUGCAGCGACGCCGCGUGAGUGAAGAAGUAUCUCGGUAUGUAAAGCUCUAUCAGCAGGGAAGAAAAUGACGGUACCUGACUAAGAAGCCCCGGCUAACUACGUGCCAGCAGCCGCGGUAAUACGUAGGGGGCAAGCGUUAUCCGGAUUUACUGGGUGUAAAGGGAGCGUAGACGGCGACGCAAGUCUGGAGUGAAAGCCCGGGGCCCAACCCCGGGACUGCUUUGGAAACUGUGCUGCUGGAGUGCAGGAGAGGUAAGUGGAAUUCCUAGUGUAGCGGUGAAAUGCGUAGAUAUUAGGAGGAACACCAGUGGCGAAGGCGGCUUACUGGACUGUAACUGACGUUGAGGCUCGAAAGCGUGGGGAGCAAACAGGAUUAGAUACCCUGGUAGUCCACGCC